CAUGGGAUAAAAAGACUGAAAAGAACUGGUGAUUAAAGUCACUAAACCGUUCCAUUUUGUGAGAUUAAAUACGGGUGCCGUUCUACCAAAAAAUAAAAAUAAAAAUAAAAAAUACGGGUGCCGUUGUAUCAACGCCCGACAACUGGCGACGUAUGGAGUGAGGCGACCUCGGAUCCACCUCGGAUCCACGAGGCCAGCUUGUCGUCGA
RNAcentral lists this long non-coding RNA (208 nucleotides) under Elaeis guineensis (African oil palm). RNAcentral's name for it is "long non-coding RNA (EGUI_LNC011058)". Lineage: Eukaryota; Viridiplantae; Streptophyta; Magnoliopsida; Arecales; Arecaceae. The record is from RNAcentral.